This 1040-nucleotide ribosomal RNA is filed under the name Metacrangonyx dhofarensis. RNAcentral's name for it is "16S ribosomal RNA". The stretch from base 656 to 994 matches the Rfam family "Archaeal large subunit ribosomal RNA", at positions 2147 to 2719 of the family's 2987-position model. Lineage: Eukaryota; Metazoa; Arthropoda; Malacostraca; Amphipoda; Metacrangonyctidae. The record is from RNAcentral.
UAACUGUGAAGGAAAACCUAUAUAAUCGUAAAGAAUAUAUACAUAAUACUACCUUUUGUCUCAGGGUUAAUCUAUUUAUAAAUAAAAAAAAAAAUUUCGAAAUCAUUAGAUCUAAAAAAAUAUGAAAUAAUUGUGGAAAAAAAAAAGAAAUUUUCUUUUAGUGGUGAAACUCCUACGAUAAUGAUAAUAUCUAAUUAAAGACGAAAUCCCCAAGGAUUCUCUUGUAUAAAUUAAAUUAAAUUGGGCCAGCUAAUUUAAUUCAAAUAAAACCAACAAAAACCAAAAAACUAGGCUUCAAAUUAGCCAAGUUUAUAAAUUGUAUUAAAUAAUAUUAUUUAACAUUAACAUAAUUUCGAACUAGUCUUUUAACCUAAAUAAUAAAUUCAUAGAUAAAAUAAUGAUUAAAUAAGUAUUAUAGACAAAUAAAAAGAACAAACUCAAUCUUUUAUUGACUGUUUAACAAAAACAUUUCUCUAUGAAAAAAUGAAGAGUAAGACCUGCCCAGUGAAAAAUUAAACGGCUGCGGUAUAUUGACCGUGCUAAGGUAGCAUAAUAAAUUGUUUCUUAAUUGGAAACUGGAAUGAAAGGUGUCACAAUAAAUAAAUAUAUUAAAUUUAAUAAAAGAAUUUUUACUUUAAGUAAAAAUACUUAAAUUUUAUAAAGGGACGAUAAGACCCUUGAAGCUUUAUUCCAAAAUCAAAGAAGUCGUAAUUAACACAUGACAUAGUGAAUUUAGUUGGGGAAACACAAUUACAAAAAUUAUUACAAAAAAAACUAGAUCUUAUAAAUACAAAAGAAGAGAAAAAGUUACUCUAGGGAUAACAGCGUAAUAAUUUUGGAUAGACCUUAUAUAUAAAAUUGAUUACGACCUCGAUGUUGAAUUAAAUAUCUUUAUAGAGCAAAAACUAUAAAAAGAGGGUUUGUUCAACCUUUAAUGAUUUACAUGAUUUGAGUUCAGACCGGUUUAAGCCAGGUCGGUUUCUAUCUUUUAUAAUAAACAUGUUUUUUAAGUACGAAAGGACCAAAAAAUUUUAAUAGUU